RNAcentral lists this ribosomal RNA (301 nucleotides) under uncultured bacterium. Its description in RNAcentral is "partial 16S ribosomal RNA". It matches the Rfam family "Bacterial small subunit ribosomal RNA", at positions 509 to 807 of the family's 1533-position model. The record is from RNAcentral.
CAGUAGCCGCGGUAAAACGGAGGGAGCUAGCGUUGUUCGGAAUUACUGGGCGUAAAGCGCGCGUAGGCGGUUACUCAAGUCAGAGGUGAAAGCCCGGGGCUCAACCCCGGAACUGCCUUUGAAACUAGGUGACUAGAAUCUUGGAGAGGUCGGUGGAAUUCCGAGUGUAGAGGUGAAAUUCGUAGAUAUUCGGAAGAACACCAGUGGCGAAGGCGACUGACUGGACAAGUAUUGACGCUGAGGUGCGAAAGCGUGGGGAGCAAACAGGAUUAGAUACCCGCGUAGUCCCUGUCUCUUAUAC